GGCUCAGGACGAACGCUGGCGGCAUGGAUUAGGCAUGCAAGUCGAACGGGCGCAGCAAUGCGUCAGUGGCGAAAGGGUGAGGAACACGUGAGUAACUUGCCCCAAGUUCGGAAUAGCUUUGGGAAACUGAAGAUAAUACCGGAUGUGGUUGUUCUGCUGCAUGGCAGGGCAACUAAAGGUUUACCGCUUGGGGAUAGGCUCGCGUCCCAUUAGCUAGUUGGUGAGGCAACGGCUCACCAAGGCGACGAUGGGUAGCUGGUCUGAGAGGAUGGUCAGCCACACUGGGACUGAGACACUGCCCAGACUCCUACGGGAGGCUGCAGUCGAGAAUCUUCCGCAAUGCGCGAAAGCGUGACGGAGCAAUGCCGCGUGCCGGAUGAAGGUCUUCGGAUUGUAAACGGCUGUCGACCGGGACGAAUGAAUGACGGUACCGGUAGAGGAAGCCACGGCUAACUACGUGCC
Molecule: ribosomal RNA, 462 nt
Filed under: uncultured bacterium
Lineage: Bacteria
Description: bacterial SSU rRNA
Rfam family: Bacterial small subunit ribosomal RNA
Source: RNAcentral